GGGGUCAUAACUGGCCACCAAUGGCAAUGGCAUUGGCCAUUGUUUUGAUUUCAACUAGUGUGGUUUCUGCUGCUGCAGAUAGUUAUAUUUACUCUUCUCCUCCACCACCUUACGAGUAUAAGUCGCCACCGCCACCAUCACCUUCACCACCACCUCCUUAUGUUUACAAAUCGCCACCUCCUCCAUCCCCAUCACCUCCACCACCUUAUGAGCACAAGGCUCCUGCUUAUGAGUACAAGUCACCACCACCACCAACUCCUUCACCACCACCUCCUUAUGUGUACAAGUCACCACCACCGCCAUCUCCUUCACCACCACCUCCUUAUGUGUACAAGUCACCACCACCACCCUCACCUUCCCCACCACCACCAUACUACUACAAGAGUCCUCCACCACCUUCUCCUUCACCUCCACCUCCUUACUACUACAAAUCUCCUCCACCACCCUCACCUUCCCCACCACCACCAUACUAUUACAAGUCUCCUCCACCACCAUCUCCCUCACCUCCACCACCAUAUUACUACAAGUCUCCCCCACCACCCUCACCCUCCCCUCCACCCCCAUAUAUACACAAGGAUCCACCAUACUAUUACAAGUCCCCACCACCACCUUCACCAUCUCCUCCACCACCAUACUACUACAAAUCUCCCCCACCCCCUUCACCGUCUCCUCCACCACCAUACUACUACAAAUCUCCUCCUCCUCCAUCUCCUAUUCCCAAAACACCUUACUACUACAAAUCUCCCCCACCCCCUUCACCAUCUCCUCCACCACCAUACUACUACAAAUCUCCCCCACCCCCUUCACCGUCUCCUCCACCACCAUACUACUAUAAAUCUCCCCCACCACCGUCACCCUCUCCACCACCACCUUACUAUUACAAGUCUCCUCCCCCACCUUCACCAUCUCCUCCACCACCAUACUACUACAAAUCUCCUCCUCCUCCAUCUCCUAUUCCCCAUACACCUUACUAUUACAAAUCUCCCCCACCACCUUCACCAUCUCCUCCACCACCAUACUACUACAAAUCUCCUCCUCCUCCAUCUCCUAUUCCCCGUACACCUUACUAUUACAAAUCUCCCCCACCACCUUCACCAUCUCCUCCACCACCAUACUACUACAAAUCCCCUCCUCAUCCAUCUCCCAUUCCCCAUACACCUUACUAUUACACAUCUCCCCCACCACCUUCACCGUCUCCUCCACCACCAUAUUACUACAAAUCUCCUCCCCCUCCGUCUCCUAUUCCCCACACACCUUACUACUACAAGUCCCCACCACCACCAAAGGUCCUUCCACCACCAUACUAUUACAAUUCUCCUCCUCCACCUGUUGUGUAUCCUCACCCAUAUCCCUACCACCACUCACUUAUUGUGAGGGUAGUCGGUAAAGUCUACAGCUUCAGAUGUUAUGAUUGGAAUUAUCCUGCAAAGUCUCAUAACAAGAAACAUCUCAAAGGUACAUUACAUUUCUUAGGACCGGACCUCUUUAGAGUAAUGUGUUUAGAGAUAAUGCACAAUUUUUUAUUUUUUUAUCUCGUAAAGGUUUAUUUAUUAUAAUCACAAUUUCACUUUUGUCAAAAAGAAAAACAAUUUUACUAUAUAUAGUUUUAAUCAUUAACAUUUUGAUGUAAAAAGAAUACAAUUCUCUAUUACCUUUUUACUAUGAUAUAUAUACAAAGAUUAUUCAAAUCUAUAUAUCCAACCUAAUUUCCAUCCAAAAAAAUAGAAAACAUAGGGUGCUUUGAACGCCUGCAGCAUCACAUGAAUAAAUAAAAACAAUCAAUAAUCAACCUUGUUCUAAUUUAUUUUAGACAGCGAUUGUUAAGCAUACUGCUCUUUUAAUUACAUUUUUUUUAAAGAUGCUCUUUUAAUUAUAUUGUCCUAAUAUAAUAUGUGUCUUUAUAUAUUACUUGUCGUAAACUAAUUUUAUUAUGGGUGCAGGAGCUGUUGUUGAGGUGACAUGCAAAGCCGGGAGCAAAAUUGUCAAGGCUUAUGGAAAAACUAAGAACAAUGGAAAGUAUGCCAUCACAGUUAAGGACUUUGACUAUGUCAAAUAUGGUUCGACAGUGUGCAAGGCUGCCCUAUAUGCUCCACCUAAGGGUUCACCCUUCAACAUACCUACAAAGCUAAAUCAAGGAACAAAGUUGUACUUGAAAUCCAAAGACAAGUACGAGGUUGUGCUCAAGGCUAAGCCAUUUGCUUAUGCUUCAAAGAAACAUUUCAAAGAAUGUGAGAAGCCUAAGCCUUCACCAACUCCUUACUACUACAAAUCACCUCCACCUCCCUCACCAGUUUACAAAUACAACUCACCACCUCCACCGGUCCAUUAUUAUUCACCUCCAUACACCUACAAGUCACCUCCUCCCCCUGUGAAAGCGGCACCAACUCCUUACUACUACAAAUCACCUCCACCACCCGCACCGGUUUACAAGUACAACUCACCCCCUCCACCGGUCCAUUAUUAUUCACCACCAUAUACCUAUAAGUCACCUCCUCCCCCUGUGAAAGCGGCACCAACUCCUUACUACUACAAAUCACCUCCACCUCCCGCACCGGUUUACAAGUACAACUCCCCACCUCCACCGGUCCAUUAUUAUUCACCUCCAUAUACCUACAAGUCACCUCCUCCCCCUGUGAAAGUGGCACCAACUCCUUACUACUACAAAUCACCUCCACCACCCGCACCGGUUUACAAGUACAACUCACCACCUCCACCGGUCCAUUAUUAUUCUCCACCAUACUACUACAAGUCACCACCCCCACCAUCUCCAUCACCUCCUCCACCAUACUAUUUCAAAUACUAUUACAAGUCCCCACCUCCACCAUCACCAUCCCCUCCUCCACCUUAUUAUUACAAAUCUCCUCCUCCACCAAAACAAAUUUCACACCCUCCAUACUACUAUAAGUCACCACCCCCACCAUCACCAUCACCUCCUCCACCAUACUAUUAUAAGUCUCCACCUCCACCAUCACCAUCUCCCCCACCACCUUAUUAUUAUAAGUCACCACCCCCACCAUCCCCGUCCCCUCCUCCACCAUACUACUACAAGUCUCCACCUCCACCUAAAGAAAUAUCACAUCCUCCAUAUAACUAUAAGUCACCACCCCCACCAUCACCAUCCCCUCCCCCUCCAUACUAUUACAAAUCUCCUCCACCACCAUCACCAUCACCACCACCUCCCUACUAUUACAAAUCACCUCCACCACCAUCACCAUCACCUCCCCCUCCAUACUAUUACAAAUCUCCUCCACCACCAUCACCAUCACCACCACCUCCUUACUAUUACAAAUCACCUCCACCACCAUCCCCAUCACCACCACCUCCAUACUACUACAAAAGUCCCCCUCCACCAUCUCCAUCUCCUCCAUCCCCAUAUUACUACAAAUCUCCACCACCACCAUCACCAUCCCCACCCCCUCCCUACUAUUACAAAUCACCUCCACCUCCCUCACCAUCACCGCCACCUCCUUACUAUUACAAAUCACCUCCACCUCCCUCACCAUCACCGCCACCUCCUUACUAUUACAAAUCUCCCCCACCUCCAUCUCCAUCUCCACCACCUCCUUACCACUAUCAAAGUCCUCCUCCACCAUCUCCCAUUUCUCAUCCUCCCUACUACUACAAAUCCCCUCCACCACCAUCGCCGUCUCCUCCACCUCCUUACCACUAUGUGAGUCCUCCCCCACCAGUAAAGUCACCUCCACCACCAACUUAUAUCUAUGCUUCACCACCACCACCUCACUACAACUAAGCUCAAAGAGCAGAAGCUCCGUUCAUUAUAAAUCAUGUAAGUUUAUCAUCUUCAAUUUUCUGAAUGUGUGCGUGUGUAUUUGUUUUUUUGUUACAAGAUACUAACAAAAUUCUUUUCUUAUUUAUGUUCAGGUUUUAGUUUUCAUCUAGGAAUAAAGGCAAGCUCCAUUUGGAGUAAAGUGAAACUUCUAGCUUCGUGUCCGAAUUCGUUAAAUAAAUGUCGGGAUGUAUCGUCUUUGAGCUAUAAUAUUUCUGAUCCAGACAAUAUCUAUUUUGUUUCUUUGGUGGCAAUCUUGCACUUCCUGGUCUUAGUCUAUUCAAGUGACAGACAAAUCAAAAGGGAGAAGCGAGAUUAAUUUAUUUGUGAUCUCUUUGAUUUAUUUGUGCAUAUAUCAAUAUGAACGUGUAUGAUAUUUUUCUAUUUAUUGAAGAUUUUUUUACUGUAACCUGUUAUUGUGUUUGUCAAAAGGUGUUAAUAAAGAAUCACAUUCAAUUUCUGUUAAAUUAUCAGUAUUUGUUUCUUUCUAACAACUACCAUUCAUGCAAAUGUGGCUAUUAAAAAAAGCUCCAAUGACACAUAAAAAGCUUCCAAACAAUAUAUAAACAAAGAUGCAUUGUUUUCUGUUAAGAAGGGGACAGGGUUACGGUUACUUGUGUACCAAGUUAGUUAUCCAUGCUUUCUUGUUCAUAGGAUUUAUAUGGUGUAGUUGCACUUAGUUGCUAAAUGUAUGCAAGCUUUUCCUUUCUAUAAAUAAGCACACCUACUAUCAUUCUUCUCCACAUUCCUUUCUACUCUUCUAUCAUGAAUUGUUCAUCCACAUAAGAUGGUCACAGAGCACACCUAAUACUCUGCUACUGGUGUAUCAGUUCCUUUCCACCAGAAACUUAUGAUCUCUAAUUGAAAGAGAUCCUAAAGUUUUAAGAUUUCUACAAAAUACAUUAUUCUCAUUUUUGUACAAGUAUGAUACAAUUAUUCCCAAGUAUUAUUUAUUCUAAGGAAUAGAAUUUAGUUGUGGUUUCUCUAUUUAACCAACAUUUAUUUUUAAAUAACUAAAUUUAAAAAAAAAAUCCUGAAAUUAUUAAGUACAUACCUAACACAUUGUAAAAUUUUGUUCCCAAAGAAAAUAUUUUUGGCAAUAGAAUUUUCAGGAACUUCAUUCCUAGGAAUAUAAUUCUAUACUAAGAGAAGAGCUUAAGCAUUGAUACAUAACAAGACCAAUCCAUAUCCUAAUCACAAUCCUACUUUCACUAAAUACUUUCACUUAAGUGUGGUCUUGGAAAGGACAAAUGAAGAAAGACAUUCCAGAGGUAUGGUAAGGGACAAUAUCUGCAGUUAUGCACAUAUUGCAAGAUUGUGAGGAACUACCGGACUGAUUUGAUUCACCAAAAAAUUUGGAAUAAAUAUUUCAGCCCAGAACUCAGACAAUGACUGGAUUGGAACCUUUCAGCUUCUAAUAUCGGUACUGUCCAAGGAAAUAGUCAUUCUCUUUUUGGAGUAGCUGUGAAGGAUUUAUGGAAAGAUAGAACUAAGCUGGUCUUUUCUAGAAACACCGCGAUUGGAACUACUCUAUUUUGGCUUGUAGCCAAUCCGGCUAAGUUUAUUAACAAUGUAGUUUGUACUCAAGCUCACAGUCACGAUGUUGUCAGCAACAGUGGGCAUAUUGUUUAGGUAGCCUGGAAUUUUCCUCCCCAACACUUCUUCAAAGUGAAUAUGAUGGAUCUCUACGGGAUUAUGUUAGUUUCCAGGAUCGAACUCAGAACCUCCUGAUUAUAACUCCUUCAAUGUAUGUCCCUUACCCACGUGGGGCCUCGGCUGUAAUUGUUAACAUGGUAAAAUUUGGCUCUUCCAAUAAUGGUUUUAUCCAAACUCGAGGUUGUUUAUCGUCUCCAACAAUCAGAUUGGAGAAUACUAGUGGUUCAUGCAUUUGAACAAACCAACUGUUGUGCAGAUUUUCUAGUUGAUUUUGUUUUUCCUUUUUUGAGUAUUUUAUUAGCCAAUGAUAUAAGAGGUUGUAGCCUACCUCUUUUGAUUUCUUAAGACAAUCACUUUUGCAUUAGAAAAAAACGACCCUACAUAAAAUUAAUGAUUGAAUUAAGAUAUAACUUCAGUUUGAAAUAUUGUAAAAUUCUAUACCACCAAAAACUGAGAAUUUUAGAACCAUACAGGUUGGUGGAGUGGUCAUCCAGAUAACUUUAACAUAAUUAACAGUCCAAAAAGUAAAUAGCUUUAUCCUUUAUUUUCAAUCUGAUGUGAUUUACUCUUAUCUGUUAAACAUUAUAAUUAAGAAUCCAAAGGGAACACUCACCUAAUCUCUCUCUUUUUUCUAGCUUUUUCACUAAACCACUGUGUCUGUGGUUACCACAUUUCCUUAUGGAAUCAAUAUCCAAUUUAUGUUAAAAACCAUUUCUACAUUUUGUGUUAAAAAUGAUCUAAACAAAGAUGAUUUAUUUCUCUUAAAUUCAACAUAGAUCAUAUUUACAUGGUUCAAACUUUCUAUUACACGGCAUUGACUUAGUUGCUUCACAUGGGGACACAACUAAUGCAUAUAUUAUUUUAUAUGCUUAUAGUAAUUUUAACAAGUGGCAAUGGGGCAUAUGUUUUGUCAAAAAAACACAAAAAACAGGAGGCAUGUGCAACUGAAGUCACUGCCAGCUUGGCACUAAGAUAUAGUAAAAUAAUUGACAUUUGAAGAAAACAAAGACGUUGCUACAUUUCUAUUCAAACAAGCGACAUCAAUAUCAGACAAUGGUGCUACAUUUAAUAAUACUACAGCUAUCCCCAUAAGCACCUCUUAGAAAGAAAAAAAAAUAUCCAUUAAAUUAAUGUUGGAAGAGUUAGCAACAUGUCCUCUCCCAAAAAAACUCAUGUUUGAUUCCUAGAGUCGUCCAUUUCGAAAGAAGCUCAACCCUGAUAAUAAAAACCUAGAUGUUAUGCUGCAGACUUAAAGAUCAAUUUCAUAAUGGAUCCAAAGGGCCUAAGCUGUGUGGGAUACUUAAGGGGGUAUAUUGAGGCUAAGGGUCAAAGAUCUUAAUUAUGGUCGGUUAAAAAAAGAAGAAAAAAAAAUUAUCUCUAAAUAUAAAGUCAACAAUAUUUCAAAUUGCAAGAUACAUUUAUUUAUUUUUUAAAUAUGUAUAUACCUCUUAUUAAUACUUACUAAUUUGUUUUGAGUGAUAAAAAGUUACGAGUUAGACAGAUCAGCACAUAAAAAAAGUAUUUGAAAAACAUCUACCAACAAAAUAAACACAUUAAAAACAAUACUACUUUUUUACAAUACUGUAUGUGAAAAUGACAAAAUCUUGAAAAAGAUGGAGGUAACAUGUACUCUUUUUUUUUUAGAGGGGAGCAUGUACUUUUCCACUAACAAUGUUGAUAAGAAACAUAUAAAAUACUAUUAGAGAAAGAAAAAAAAUAAUAAAUAAAGAAAUAUAUAAAAUACUGAGGAAUGACUCACUCAUGUCAAAUUUUAGCAAGGGAGAAGUGAUAUCACAUCAUUUUAGAAGAGGAAUGAGAAUAGAUAGAUCUAAUUUUUCUAGUAAGUUUGAAUAGUAGAAUCAUACUUCUUUGUCUUUUGUGAAAAUUUCAUAUUAUGGGAUCUAUUACUAGAAUACAGGUGAUUUUAUUCUGGAAGAUUGACUUUUUAUUAAAAUAAAAUAAAAGUACAUUUUUUAUUUCCAAAUGCUUAGUUGUUCAUUUAUAAAUAUUACAUUAUCCAACAGCACCAAACCCUAUUUCAUAACGGUACUCUGCACGUUUCAUUCAUUUACUGGUGCCUUAGUUUUUUGUUACAAACAGACAUUGAUCAGAGGAACAAAUGUAGAGACAAAUUGAAGAUAAUAUAUCACAUAAUAUUGUAGACACACCUUCACAUACAAAUGGGGUAAAGUCCCUCAUAGUAGUAUUAGAAAUAACACUUAGAGUAAAAUUUUGCUAAAUUUAACAUGAAAAUAAGUGUAAUGUAUUUUAUAGGCAGCUAUACAUAAUUAUUAAUUAGAACAAUUUUUUACACUGUCAAACAAAAAUUGAACAAUUUUUUACUAGCUUUAUGCUUUAUGAUGUUUUGAUUCCAUGUGCACAUUUCAAUUUUAGAACUAUUCCUUUCUAUGUUACUGAAAUAAUUCUAUCAUUAGGCAUUGACAUUUCCAUUAUGCGUGCACGUUAAAGUGUUUUCCCAAACAGAGAAAUAUUAAGAAAGGUUAAACUUUUGACUUAAAGACACAACUAAAAUAAGAUCCAAGGAAAACCCCAUUGAUUAUUUCUUGCACAAAAUUAAAAACCCCAUUGAUUAUUUCUUGCACAAAAUUAAAAUGCUAAUAAUUUUUCCUGGUCUAUAUUUUUCUCCUUCCGGGAAAUGGCAACAUCACAUGUUCAUCUCAUAAUUGAGAAAACACAUGUCUGGGAAAAUAUCUUAAAGAAAAGGCAGUAAAGUAAUAAAAAGUGCACCAAAUAGAGAUUAACUAGUACUCUUUGCAUGUCAACUAAGUGGUAUAAUUAUGUAUAUCACAUUCUUAAUAUUGAUUAUCUUGAUUGCACGAUAAGCCCCUCAAAUUGCUCAAUCGAUGAUUGCUUGAUAAGCCCAUCAAAUUGCCCAAUCGAUCGAAUCGUAACUUUCGAUAGACAUUUUUUUUAAGAAAACCCAAUUGGAUCAUAACUCCCCAUAGUCAUUUAUUUGAAAUUGUGAGCAAUUUGAUAACUUAUUGAGCAAUCACCAUUGAUUUUAGUCUCAAUUUAUCCUAAUGUUGUAACCCUGGAAUAAUGGAACAGUGAGUAAAUUUGGUUUCUCCGUCUCAAAAUAAGUGUCACAAUUUAACCAUGUGCACUACUCAUCAAAUCUACUUUGACAACAUUUUUUUUACUAAUAUAUAAAGACAAUGUUAGUACAUUACAUGUUCGAUUUGUCUUAGUUAAUGUUUUUAAAAUAUCGACUUUAUUAUAAUUUUUCUUAAUAGACAAUCAAAAAUAUCAAUUGUCAAAAUUGUGUAUUGAUAUGUAUGAAAAUCAAACUAUAACACUUACUUUGAGACGAAGAGAAUAACUAUUAAAAACUAAUGUUCAAAUAGAAAGAAAAGAAAACAAAGAUUCCAUACAAAGCUUGCAAAAUAGCUACAAUCAUAACCUAGAACAAAAAUCAUGACCACACACUAUAUCCAUUUUCCUUUUCCUAAAAAGCAAUUGAAGAUAAAAAAAAAAAAAAUAAUAAAUAAAAAAAAAAAAAAAAAAAAAAAAAANACCACCAUACUACUACAAAUCCCCACCUCCACCAUCGCCUUCUCCUCCACCACCAUACUACUACAAAUCCCCACCUCCACCAUCGCCUUCUCCUCCACCACCAUACUACUACAAAUCCCCACCUCCACCAUCGCCUUCUCCUCCACCACCAUACUACUACAAAUCCCCACCUCCACCAUCGCCUUCUCCUCCACCACCAUACUACUACAAAUCCCCACCUCCACCAUCGCCUUCUCCUCCACCACCAUACUACUACAAAUCCCCACCUCCACCAUCGCCUUCUCCUCCACCACCAUACUACUACAAAUCCCCACCUCCACCAUCGCCUUCUCCUCCACCACCAUACUACUACAAAUCCCCACCUCCACCAUCGCCUUCUCCUCCACCACCAUACUACUACAAAUCCCCACCUCCACCAUCGCCUUCUCCUCCACCACCAUACUACUACAAAUCCCCACCUCCACCAUCGCCUUCUCCUCCACCACCAUACUACUACAAAUCCCCACCUCCACCAUCGCCUUCUCCUCCACCACCAUACUACUACAAAUCCCCACCUCCACCAUCGCCUUCUCCUCCACCACCAUACUACUACAAAUCCCCACCUCCACCAUCGCCUUCUCCUCCACCACCAUACUACUACAAAUCCCCACCUCCACCAUCGCCUUCUCCUCCACCACCAUACUACUACAAAUCCCCACCUCCACCAUCGCCUUCUCCUCCACCACCAUACUACUACAAAUCCCCACCUCCACCAUCGCCUUCUCCUCCACCACCAUACUACUACAAAUCCCCACCUCCACCAUCGCCUUCUCCUCCACCACCAUACUACUACAAAUCCCCACCUCCACCAUCGCCUUCUCCUCCACCACCAUACUACUACAAAUCCCCACCUCCACCAUCGCCUUCUCCUCCACCACCAUACUACUACAAAUCCCCACCUCCACCAUCGCCUUCUCCUCCACCACCAUACUACUACAAAUCCCCACCUCCACCAUCGCCUUCUCCUCCACCACCAUACUACUACAAAUCCCCACCUCCACCAUCGCCUUCUCCUCCACCACCAUACUACUACAAAUCCCCACCUCCACCAUCGCCUUCUCCUCCACCACCAUACUACUACAAAUCCCCACCUCCACCAUCGCCUUCUCCUCCACCACCAUACUACUACAAAUCCCCACCUCCACCAUCGCCUUCUCCUCCACCACCAUACUACUACAAAUCCCCACCUCCACCAUCGCCUUCUCCUCCACCACCAUACUACUACAAAUCCCCACCUCCACCAUCGCCUUCUCCUCCACCACCAUACUACUACAAAUCCCCACCUCCACCAUCGCCUUCUCCUCCACCACCAUACUACUACAAAUCCCCACCUCCACCAUCGCCUUCUCCUCCCCCACCUUACUAUUACAAAUCCCCACCGCCACCUUCACCAUCUCCCCCACCACCCUACUACUAUAAAUCACCCCCACCACCUUCACCAUCUCCUCCACCACCAUACUACUACAAAUCACCCCCACCGCCAUAUGAACACAAGACUAAACCAUACUAUUACAAGUCUCCUCCACCACCAUAUGAACACAAGACUAAACCAUACUAUUACAAGUCCCCACCACCACCUUCACCAUCUCCUCCACCACCAUACUAUUACAAGUCCCCACCACCACCUUCACCGUCUCCACCCCCACCAUACUACUACAAAUCACCUCCUCCUCCAUCACCUAUUCCCCAUACACCUUACUACUACAAGUCCCCACCACCACCUAAGGUUCUUCCACCACCAUACUAUUACAACUCUCCUCCUCCACCUGUUGUGUAUCAUCACCCUCAUCCCUACCACCAUGCAUUGAUCGUGAAGGUAGUGG
This 10839-nucleotide long non-coding RNA is filed under the name Medicago truncatula (barrel medic). Its description in RNAcentral is "long non-coding RNA (MTRU_LNC000785)". The record is from RNAcentral. Lineage: Eukaryota; Viridiplantae; Streptophyta; Magnoliopsida; Fabales; Fabaceae.